Molecule: ribosomal RNA, 252 nt
Filed under: uncultured bacterium
Lineage: Bacteria
Description: partial 16S ribosomal RNA
Rfam family: Bacterial small subunit ribosomal RNA
Source: RNAcentral
GACAGAGGGUGCAAACGUUGCUCGGAAUCACUGGGCGUAAAGGGCGUGUAGGCGGGAAGGAAAGUCAGAUGUGAAAGCCCUGGGCUCAACCCAGGAACUGCAUUUGAAACUCCCUUUCUUGAGUGUCGGAGAGGAAAGCGGAAUUCCUGGUGUAGAGGUGAAAUUCGUAGAUAUCAGGAGGAACACCGGUGGCGAAGGCGGCUUUCUGGACGACAACUGACGCUGAGACGCGAAAGCGUGGGGAGCAACAGG